The sequence is a transfer RNA, 91 nucleotides long. It matches the Rfam family "tRNA". Rfam says of the family: Transfer RNA (tRNA) molecules are approximately 80 nucleotides in length. Their secondary structure includes four short double-helical elements and three loops (D, anti-codon, and T loops). Further hydrogen bonds mediate the characteristic L-shaped molecular structure. tRNAs have two regions of fundamental functional importance: the anti-codon, which is responsible for specific mRNA codon recognition, and the 3' end, to which the tRNAs corresponding amino acid is attached (by aminoacyl-tRNA synthetases). tRNAs cope with the degeneracy of the genetic code in two manners: having more than one tRNA (with a specific anti-codon) for a particular amino acid; and 'wobble' base-pairing, i.e. permitting non-standard base-pairing at the 3rd anti-codon position.
GGUGGCGAGGGGUUUCGAGUGCGGGACAUCGACGGUCUUGAAAACCGUCGUGGCAGCGAUGUCACCGUGGGUUCAAAUCCCACCGCCUCCG